This 253-nucleotide ribosomal RNA is filed under the name uncultured bacterium. Its description in RNAcentral is "partial 16S ribosomal RNA". It matches the Rfam family "Bacterial small subunit ribosomal RNA", at positions 524 to 776 of the family's 1533-position model. The record is from RNAcentral.
UACGUAGGGCGCAAGCGUUGUCCGGAAUUAUUGGGCGUAAAGAGCUCGUAGGCGGCUUGUCACGUCGAUUGUGAAAGCUCGGGGCUUAACCCCGAGUCUGCAGUCGAUACGGGCUAGCUAGAGUGUGGUAGGGGAGAUCGGAAUUCCUGGUGUAGCGGUGAAAUGCGCAGAUAUCAGGAGGAACACCGGUGGCGAAGGCGGAUCUCUGGGCCAUUACUGACGCUGAGGAGCGAAAGCCAGGGGAGCAAACGGG